GGAAAAUAAAUGGGAAUGGUGGUGUUGGGGGCACUGUUGAAUGCCAUACCUGAAGAGUAGGCCUCUACACUUUGAAUCCAGCUUGAGGGACAAGGGACAGGACGUCCUCUUCUUAAAUACCAUGUUUCUAUAAAUUGAGAAAGAUUCUUUUAAAUACUGGUGACAGAGACUAAAAUUAACCCAGGUUAAGCUUUAAAAAGACAAUUUAUUAGCUCAUAUAAUUGAAAUAUGUAAGGGGUUAGAUUUCAGGCAUGGCAUGAUCCAGGUGCUUAAAUGAUUAGCAGGAUGCUGGCUUUUUCUCUGCCACACAUCUAUGAUUUAUUUUCAAGUAGGAUUCUGUACAUAGAGGGGAAGGUGGCCCUUGGCAUUUAAUUUCAACUUAAUACAUGCGUUCUUAGAAAAAAGAGAGACUUCUUUGUCAAUGUCCACAUCAGUCUCUAAAAAUUGAUCCUGAUGUCAGGUGUCCACUCCUGUUCCAGUUCCUGUUCCCUGAGGGAGAACAUUCUCUGACUCACCUGACUACAUUGUCAUCACUCUUGGAGGGGAGGCAGGGUGCCUUGAUUUGCAGCCCUACCGAAAUGCCACAGAGUGAGGAACUGGGAGUUACCCAUCAGACAAAAAAGUUACCAAUGUACCCUGACUUUCUUGUUCUUCUACUGUCAUUCCUUUCAUUGGUAUGGUCUCAGAAGUCCUCCCUGGAAGGACAUAGUACCUAAGAAUAUUCUAAGUCAUGACUGCCCACACUGUCAUUCCUUUUAUCAGUGUGGUCUUCAGAAGUCCUUCCUGGAAAGGUAUAGUCCCUAAGAAUAUUCUAAGUCAUAACUGGCUAGAUCUCUCCUAUUAGUUAGCAGUCAGCAGAGAUCAAAGGCUGUCUAGAGUGAGGCAGACUGGGAGAAGCAGGGCUGAUGUGUGUGACAGUUCCUGGCCUGUGCCUCACUCAGUGCUCCAGGGGCUCUGUGUCUGGUAACCUAGGCCCUGCCCCUCAUGGAUUUAAGUCCCAGUUCUACCACUUAGCAAUAAGACUGGUGGUUUAAAUUUUUAAAAAGUGUUUUUUAAGUUUAUUUAUUUAUUUUGAGAGCAAGAAAUAGCAAGUGGGGGAGGGGCAUAGAGAAAGAAUCCCAAGCAGGCUCCCUACUGUCAGCUCAGAGCCUGAUGUGGGGCUUGAACCUAUGAACCAUGAGAUCAUGAUCUGAGCUGAAAUCAAGAGUUGGAUGCUUAACUGACUGAGUCACCUACCCCUAAAUUUUUUUUUAUUUUUUAUUUUUUUAUUUUAGAGACAGUGUGAGUAGGGGAGGGGCAGAGAAAGACAGGGGGAGACACAGAACCUGAAGCAGGCUGCAGGCUCUGAGCUCUCAGCCCAGCGCCCCGUCAUGGGGCUCAAACUUACAGACCACAAGAUCAUGACCUGAGCUGGAGUUGGAUGCUUAACAGACAGCCACCCAGGCGCCCCUAAAUUCUUUUUAAACUAACACUAAAAUCAAGAGAUUUUAUGUAAAAGUCUGAAUUUCUGUUUUGUCUUGAAACUUGGCAACUCUCGCAUAAUUGGCCCCACUUUCUCUCACUGCACAGUGGAUGGUUGCAGCCGCCUCCAGGCGGCCAUGUUCUCCGAUUUGCCACAGUCCCCACCAUCCCACUGCAUUCCACCACCUGCCUGGCCCUGCUCCACUCUGGAGUUCUCACAGACCCUUCCAGUACCCAGCUGUCUAGUUCCUCAUGACGUCACAACACCAGUGACCACCAGCUCACUCCCAGAAUCCACCUGGACCUUGCCCAGCCCCAGGAUGGCUGUCUCUUAAACCAGAGCGCCUAUCCCAGUCUGAUUCAGUCCCUGCCUGCAUGUUUGGUCUCUCUGUGCCCUCCAGACCCCUCAGCCCUCUCCUUUUUCCUGGUGACCUAGUCCACAUUUUUCUUGACAUGGUUAGUCAGCACUGCGGUAGCCUCCUCACCGCCCUACUUACUUCAGGUGCUGUUCCCUGCAGUCCAUUCUCAAUACCACUGAUUUGCAAGAUGCCUAUUUUAUUGAAUGUUCUGUCAGUAUGGUGUCACUGGGGCAUGUACCCCUAUACAGACACACACACACACACACACACACACACACACACACACCUCACACUUAUAUAUUUAUAUAUACAUCCAUAUAUAUCAACCCCCUAAACAUACACACAUUGGUUUAGAGUGUACACACACAGGUUUAUAGAUUAUAUAGGGAGAGGCAGUAUAACAGUGAGCUGAAUUGCUUGAGAGUCCAGACUCUGGAGCUAGUCUAACUGGGUUUGAGUCCGACUUUUGUCACUUACACAAGUUGCUCUUUGUUCCCCUGUUUUCUCUUCUGUAUAUUAGAACUGAGCCCAGAAGUUUGUUAUGAGGUCUGUGAAGUGGAAGUUACAGGGCCUGGCACUAGGCAGUGAAGGUUAACUGCUGUUAACUCCUGUUGUCAUUGAUAUUCUGUCAGUGCAACAAUUUAAGAGGAUAAAAUUAGGCAGAAAUACCCAUUCUACAGUUUUUUUCAUGUGUUUGUUGGAUCCAUAUGAAGGUCAUGGCCUAACUGCCAUCUCAGGGGGAACUCCAUGAUGCAGAUCUGAAUUUUAUUUUUAUUAUUUUUAUUUUCUUAAGUUUAUUUUUUAAGAGAGCAAGCAGGGGAGGGACAAAGAGACCUGCAUGUUUGCAGA
Long non-coding RNA from Acinonyx jubatus (cheetah), 2669 nucleotides. RefSeq lists it as uncharacterized. The record is from RefSeq and is a predicted model, not a curated record. Lineage: Eukaryota; Metazoa; Chordata; Mammalia; Carnivora; Felidae. The transcript has 2 exons.